GAGUUGUUAUCUUUGGUUAUCUAGCUGUAUGAGUGUUUUGGUCUUCAUAAAGCUAGAUAACCGAAAGUGAAAACUCCUUCAAGAUCAUCGUACAGCGUGAGAAAAUGAAAGACUGCUGCGAGAGAGUAAAAAUCAAAAAGGGUCAGAAAUCUUAUUGAAUGUAACAUUUUUACAGCUAAAGGUGAGACUGGGGAAAGUUAAAUGGCAUACGUAUUCCAAAAUACAAAGCUGAUGGUGCACUUAUUCCAAAAUAUGAAGUUGUCUCAUGGCACAGAAUGGAUAUUCACCCGCUGCAGAGAGAACAUGGUACUGAUGGUAAACAAUGUAUGUGCAACUAUUGCUGUUGAAUAAAUAAAGAGAAAUCAAGAACAGUCAGUAUUAAACCAGACUAAGAGGAUUUUUUUUUUCUGUUAGAAACCGAAUGCUGAGUUUCAUUUUGCAAAGUAAUUCAUUGCAAUGAAAUGGCCUUAAAAAUAAAGGUGGUAGUUGGUGAUGAAGAUGGUGGUGCUGAUGAUACAGAGCUGACUACCGAACUGAGGAAAAAUAAAACCCAAAUACAACCACAAAAAACAACAAUCCAACCCCAAACCUGUCUGUGUGCAUCUGAGACAAAGCAUUGAGGUUCAUUUCAAAUCAUGUGAAAGCAGGCUUUCAGAAAAAGUUUACACCGAAGUGCAGGCAAGCUUAAUAAUUUAUAUCUACUUAGAACUCGGCGGAGUUGAACAAAAACUGAGAAAAAAAUAAUGGCCGAUUUUUAUUCCUCUAUUCAAAACGCGAGCAUAGAUGCUUCUCUGUUUCGAGAGGGUUUCCUUGAGGAAGCUACUGAAGCAGAAAGACAUGAGACGAGAUCGCCCUCCCCCCGUCAAUGUGUGUAAAAAUGUUCUAUGCCUUGCUCUGCACCUAACAUUGGAAAUGAAAGUGACAUUUACUCCAAAACCCACGUGUGCGCCUCCUCUCUUUUUGUUUAAGGAUGAUCAGGUCUAUCCUGGAAACAGCUUUGGCAUCCUAUACCGAAAUAGUUAGGACGUAUACAGACCUGACAAAAACAGGGAGAGGAGGGGAGGGGAGGAGGUGGAGAAGCGGAGGGUCUGUCUUGCCUAAUUGAUUCCGUUAAACGACGUGCAGGAGAUGUGAACGGCUGGGUGCUCCCAUUCCCACGCUCGGGGCAAAUGGCAGCGCCGUGCCCCGGCGGUCGGUGACAGACAGCCCGGCGGGGGCCGGGGCCGGGGCUGGGGGAGCCCACCGCCGACACCCGCGAGAGCAUUUCCCACCCACUGCCAUCCCAGAAAUGCUGGACGAAGGGACGGGACUGCAGAACACGCCCGCUUCCCCUGCGCCGCACCCCGCCGCGCCCUCCGAGGGAGAAGGGUGGGACUUGCGCCCGGGCGGAACUUGCGCCCUUCUCCAGCGGAGGUCGCGAGGGGACGCGGGUUUUGGUCCCGAUGGAGGAAGGGAAGGUCAGGGCAGAUGUGUCGGGAUGCAAACAGUCCUGUGUUUUUAACAAAUAUUAUCUUUAUAAUUAUGGCUGUUUAGGCACCUCUUGCAGUGAAACUGAGGGGGAUUCAUUGCUCAGGGUAACAUAUUUCCUUUGGACUUGACCUAAAAGUUUGUCCGGAGGCACGCUCGAAUGUGAUACUGAGUUAGUAACCAAACGUUCUCCACGGCAGAUUAAAAUAAGAUCAGCGGUAAGGGAAUGUGGGUCAGCGGUCUCCAUCCGUCUGGGGCAAAACCUUUGCUCGCCACUCUUUAUAAUUAUUUGAUUUUAUUUUGUUUUUUCGCUUCGUUGUCGAACUGCUUAUAAAAAACAUUGGUUUGGGGCUUAUACUGGCAAUAUUUACCUUCACGCCACACAUUGCACUGUGAGAAGGAUGGAACAAGGAUCCAGCUAGCGUGUUCUGGAAGCAGCAGGAGCACUGUGUAGCUAAACCAAAGAAUUUUGCCUCAAAAGUUAGACCAUCCUCUCUGUAGCUGUUAAAAUAACUUUAGUUUCCGCCGGAGGGUCCUCCCCGUGGCCGUCGGCAGUGCCGGCCGGGACCCCGGCUAGGCUCUUUUGAGGUUAAACCUUUGUUUUGGCUGCUCUCCGUAUGCUCAAAGUUUUACUGCUGCAGGUCCCGGUGAGGGGAGCUGUGUUUAUUUACAUCAAAACUGUGUUUGAGCCGCCGGGCUUUCACCGCAGAGUGCCCGCCUCUCAUUUAACUGCUUGUCUAGGGGCGCUAUUUACCUAGAGCCCUUGUCUACUACAAUUAACAUUUACAUGACAAAGUGCGUGGUCUUGUUUCUUAACAAGCUUCAAUUAAGGCGAUAAACUGUUUUCUGGGGAAACCCCUUGUUUACUUAGGCAUGAAUGGGGUUAAUUUACUUAAUUUACUUAAGAUGUUGCUUGCGUCUUGGUCUUCGUUGUAAAUUUGUGAAAGAAAAUAUCAGAGAAAAACAGCAGCAUUAUAAUCGCGUUUGCCAUUGUAAUCUUAAAUUGGUUUGUAUCUUAAUAAUGUCACGUGAUUAUUAAUCAAUAAAAUAUUAUAAUAUUAUUGGCUAUUAUUACUAUUACUGCUCUUACUCCUCUUCUUCAGGAGCAGAGACCCAUUUCUCUGCACCUUUUUCCUACACAGUAAACUUCUGACUUGGGGAAAGAGAGCAUGUGGAAAUGUGGUAGCAGGCCCUCAAUUUUAUGCUUUAACAGGCUCACGCAGCAAGUAACUAGGAAAGGUAAUCCUUCCCUAGAAUUAUCGACCUGUUACAUGUUGUUCCCUCAAAGCUUGUGUGGAAAAAUAAGUCACUCUAUCAACCAAAGAAAAAGUUUUAUGUUAUGGGAAAUGAAACCAAACCCAAACCCAAAAAGCUGAACUAUAAGUGGGCAUUUCUCUCCAAGCCAGUUCUAGCACUGGAGGAGACUGGAUCAAGUUUAUUUAGCAUACCAGUGCAUUGUAAAACAGUUGGAAUAUAGUUGCAGGUUGUGUGAGUAUGCAUGUUAACUAGCAGGGAUUGGGGCUUAUUCUUUGUGAAAAGAGAACAGCAUAUUGCUGUGCAAGGCCAAUAUUAAAAAGGCAGCUGAAUUUAACACCAUCUGGAAGAAAAGAUCCCUUGACGACUUUCUCACACCGUCAGACAAAACUGGUGUCUCUUGUUCUGUGUCCUUGUCUAUGCAACCACACAAUACUGAGUCAUUAUACUUUUGCUGAGAGAAAAUUUGAGAACACAUUAUGGGUAACUGGUGAAUGACCAAGUUUCAUUAUACCCGCUUAAGUCGAUUGAAAUCUACGUCUAGAGCUAUGAAUGGCAACAUUGUUUUCCUCAACGGGGCUGUACUAAAUGUCAGCACGGUGUAAAGAAAAACUUGAAGUCUGCAAAUAACUUACCAGACCUCAAUUAUAAUAUUUUCCCACACUACAACUAAUAUCAUUGGUAGUGCCUACAACGCAUGAAAUACAACAAAUGAAGGCAGAAGAAAAAAAAAUUAGUUCAUUUACACGCUAUUUCAGCCAGACAAACACUUUAAUUUUCUUAAAAUGACUUCAGCACAUAGAGCUGGAUAACAAUUUCCUGAAAAUUUCAAGCAACCAAACUGCUUCUUACGAAAUUUAAAAAAUAAAUUGCGCAAACUAACGUAUUUAUUUUAACCCUCCAGUUUAGGACUGAUAAAAUAUUAGUAGAGGUACUUUACAGUACACAGAUCACUUUGUAUGAGUCUAGCAGAUGAUUUCUUCUUUAAUGUAAAGCAGAAAUGGCACAAGCAAAGCAAUGAGAAAUGUAUUUCUUCGGGUGCUGGAGGAAAUCCACCAGGGCAUCUCAGUGUUUACACAGGUACCAGAAGGACAGUUUUCAGUUCUCUCAAUUUUUAACUACUACUUUUUUACCCUCACUUUAUAAUGGUUUCUAAGUGCUGUUCAAGUUAGUCCUCUGCUUAAGAUCCAUGCACAGUAAAGACUAUGAACCGUCUCAAAGGCAUGGUGAAGAGUUAGUUAUGUGUGCCUUGUUAGAAUGUGUUUUAAACCUAGGUGACCAUGAUUCUGUCUGCAUUUCAUAAAGCACAGCACAGUUCCUGGCAUAAAAACUUGAAAUGAUGAGCAACUACCCUUGUGCUGAGUAACACAUCUCUUCAGCAGCUCCACUUGCUGAAUUUCUGAGCAGUUCCAUUGCUGCAGCCCUGGACAUCGGGAAUGCUGGUGCAUGGGGCAGGCAGAGGACUGGUGGGAUAACUGGGCAGGUGUUGGUGCUAGAUAAAUUAUUUUUUGACUUGCUCAUGCAACCACUCAUGAAUGAGGAGCAGCUGGGGCCAUCUGGAUCGGGAGCAGAAGCAGGGCAACGCAGGCAGGUGAUGGGGAGGUUUGAAGAGAAGCCAGUCCUUCACUAGUGCCCUGCCUGCUGAACAAAAGCUGGCACCUGUUGAAGGAGGGAGUUCCUUUCACCACCCAAAGUGUUGUUUGUAUGAAUGGAUAUAUUCAUGACCACACCUCUACUUUCCUGAACUUUCCACUAGUAUGCAAUAGCAUAGGGCAGAUUCAUUAUUUUUGUUUCAAAUAAAAUUGUUGUUGUGAAAUAUUUUGUUUUGUAGAGAAACCAAGGACACACUGCCUGUUAGCCAGAUCCCUCCCUUCCCAUCUGAAUUAAAAACAGUUUUCUGACUUCUUUUGGCUAGAAGGAGAGGUAUAUGUGCAUAGCUGUCCCACAGGGACACUAUUUAAAAAGGUCAUUAAAAUUUUUAAAGCAUACCCCACUUCAAGAGAUUCCUCACCCUGGAGUAAGCAUAUUUAUUACCCCUUACAUCCUCCAUUAUUUUAAUUUAGAAGAAAGAAAAUGUCAGACUUUGACGAUUAGAUUUUCUAUUAAACAGCAAGUGCAUGUGGUAAAUAUUAAGGCAUUUCUUAUCGCUUUUUCUGGGAGUGGGAAAGGAGGAGAAAGAAGCCCUUUGACUGUGCUGUUGCUUGUCAAUAGUGCCUCUUUUUUUCUUCCUGAAGCUCUCAUUGGUGUAUAAACAUAUAAUUAUAGACAUACAUUUGUGUAUGUAUACAUAUACAUCCAUAGUUUAUGGUGUAGAGCUGGUGUGACCCUGCCAGGGUCAGAGUCUGACAUGGAUGAACUUGUGUCAUCCACUUUGUGGAGAUCAGGAUUGAGUCUGACACCAAGCUGUGCAGACUUAUUUUAGGUACGUAUGCAGUAAUGCAGUGGAAAGGGAAUGUUCAGUCUGUGUCUUUAAAUCUAAUGCUCAAAAAACUAUUUUCCCCAUAAUUCCGUGCAGCUAAUGCUAAUCCAUGCUUGCGGAGGUGGGGAAGGGACAGGAGGGGACGGAAAUUCCCCUCGCAAAUGAAGAGGUUGCACUCGGUCCGCGGAUUCCCUGCCAGGCCGCCCUUCCCUCCACGGCUCCCCAACUCGAUCCUGAGGGUUCGAAGACCAAGCCACUGACUCAGAUCUGCGGCGGCGUCGCCGAUGAGCAUCCCGAGCGUCCGCAGUCUCAGUCCAGCCGUGGGGACGCCGCGGUCCAGUCGCCGGGCUCCGUUCCCGCUCGACGACCGCUCUGAUUGGAGUUUUCCAGGAGACCGGUGGCGGCGCGCAUGGGAUGGGGCGGGAAGCGGCGGACUGCGCCGAUGCGUGCUCCAUGCCUCUCUCUUCCUGCUCGUACCGAACCGGUACCCCCUCGCCCGGCCUCAUUGCUCCUGCCCUCUCUCCGACCGCAGGGCUGCAUUACCGCCAUUAAUUGCUGCAAGUGACCACCUCUAAUUAGCUCUGCCCGCCGAGGAGCCGCCGCUGAAAGCAGCCGGAGCUCCCUUCCCCCGCGUUGCCGAGUAACUGAGGUAUUAUCGCGACUGACCCGCCGCGCCGGUGUGCUCCUCCGACAAGAGAGAUUCGAAAAAAAAUUAAAACCAAGUCCAGGUCUUAAGUAGUUACUAAAGCCAGUUAAUGACAUCGUGCAUGGAUAUUUUAACUUGUUUUAAGUCACGGAAAAGAUUAAGGAGAAAUCAUGCUAUGCAGGUGUAAUGAUACCAUCUUGGCUCCACAGCACUACCAGGUGCGGCUCAACCCACCUGCUCUGCAUACGCCACUAAAAGGCUCCUUGGAGGCCCCUGCUGUCACCUCAUACCCAAGGUGCUUUGCUGUUCAUUUAAAAAUCCAUAACUGCCUCUGAAAUUUCUGUGCCUGGCCUACACCAUAAAAACACAUUUUAAAGGUGGUUUGUGCUAGAAUGGUAAACACUUAUAUUUAAUGUAUGGGAUGCACUGAGUUAAGGGCAAAACCGAUCUUUUUCCUUCAGGUGUAGAUGCUUGGUUGCCAUAUUUCUCAGUUCCUUCAGCUCUUACUAAAAUCUGAAGCACAGAAUCAUAGAAUGUCCUAAGUUGGAAGGGACCCACAAGGAUAAUUUAAGUCCAGCUUUUGGAACUGGCCAGGACAGGCCCAAGAUUAAUAGUGAUUGGGUAUUCACUCCUCCUCAAUGCUGAUUAUUCAAAUAUCUGUGCCAAAGUGUGAUAAGAACCCAGAUAUUUUUGCUUAAUUACUGUUAUGGUUUUGAUGGUACUGUGAGGUGGGUGAGCAGGGCUGCAGAAGGGAGCAAGAUCAGCACACCAACAUAAUAAAUAAAGGAAACUGCCAGUGCACAGGGAAUUGUGAUAAGGAAUCUCCUUCUGCUUAGCAUUUUGAUCUCUAGUUUGUACCUCAGCAUGGGAAAAGUAGUAGCCAGGUCAAAAUGGACUUUGUAAGUAAAUGAGUAUGUGAGACAGUCAGCAGUUUGUCUUCUUUAGAGUCUUAAAAUAGUUUGUUGGGAAAAAUUAAUAUUCUGUGCUUUGGGUCAAAACUUGGUAAAACUGUCUGUGAUUCAAAUAGGAGCAGCAUUUCACCUUUUGCAAAAGAACCUGUAUAGUCUGAAUGGGAUCAUUUUUCCUUCAGAAUAAACUCUGUGUCAAAUAAAAGGGGCAUAUAAUAGUUAUUUUAAAAUUAUUUUUUUAAAAAUAUGUCUCUAUUAAUAAUAGCAGUUGACUGAAAGGGACAUUACCAUAAAAAAUACUCCAGUAUCAUUGUCAUGUAGAAUACUAUCUUUAAGAAACAAGAUUUUAGGGUGUAAUAAAAUAAUUAUCAUCAGAAUAACAGUGCUGGUUUAAUGUAAUUGGAAUCUAACCUACAAUAACCUUGUAUGAGAGAGAGCUGGAGUCAGUAACAGAAAACCUGCACAGAAAGGAUGGUAUUGCACAUACACAGUUUCCUGUCAUCUAAUUCAGCAGCAGUUGUGGUAGAGCAGAAAAGGUAAAAUUAGCUUUCUUUUUUAAAUUAGCUCUCUCUCUCCCUCUCUCUCUCUCUCUCUCUCUAGAUAUAUAUAUAUAUGAAUUACUCUCUUUUGCUAUUUUCUAUCACAGAAAGCAAUUGCUGCUGUAUCAUGUCAGAAUUCACUCUAGGUGUGUCGGAAGGUACAGGACUUUGGAAAGUUGUUUCAAAAUAGACCACUUCUCUAUGGCAGUAAUUAGUGUAAGCAUACAUUGUAGAGAUUCUUCUUCAGCUGAGUACUUGGGAUUUUAUGUGUUACCAAUAUCUUACCAGUGGACAUAAAUAUAUUGCAGGAAACUUAUGAAUAUUAAAUUUAUGUCUUCCUCUAAAUUCCCAUAAUUCUCAUAUGGCUCUGCUCAUAUAACAGCUAAGCAGAUCCUUUUUUAUAUACAUGGACAUUGGCAUAUACAAACUCAUAACUUUGAAUCUGGAAACCUACAAUCUGUAUCAGCAUUUGCACCAUCAUGAAGUGAGUUUACUAUGUUCCAUUGUAUCCAUAUGCUCUACCUCAUUUGUCUCCAAAAGGUAUUUUCCAGCUUAGUUAGUUCAGUGAUUCUCUGAUUCUGUGACUUCAUGUGCUGAGGCAAUAUUCACAGUAAACACAAUUCCAUAAUACAGAUCCAUAACACAGUUACCAGAAGUAAGUCACUUCUGUCCCUAGACUGUGAGUAUUGACAGUAUCAAAAACUUUCAUUUUUCCCUGCAUUGGUCUUUAGUCCCGAUAAUUAGUGAGAUAGACUAAACUACAAAAAAUCAAGCAACCAUUUAAUGAUACUAUCAUUAAAUUGACAUUUCCCACAAUAGUUGGAGAGAGACUCUAGGAUGAUAUUAUAAAUUAUAUUUUAGUUUAAUUUCUUCCAGUUUUGUAGGAAGAAUACUUUAUUUCCUAUAGAAUAAUUUCAUUCCUAGUCUGUGUGCAAAUAUUGUCUUUUGCUUAAAAUAAAACUGAGAAGAGAAAGUUAUUAUUUGCUUUCAUAUUUUAAAAAUUAUUCAUCAUAUACAGCUAUGUAAUAUAACAUUUUGCACAGCACUAUAUUAUUAAGUUAAUCUAAUGCCCAGAGUCAUUAUGCACAUUCCUGGAUGUCCUUCUGAUGUCUCUCCAGUCUGCUGGAUUUGGAAGUGUGAUUAUGUAAAUUUUUUACUGAUAAAUAGAUUAUUAUAAUUGUAGUUGAAAUACCCCUGGAAUUCAUAAAACCAUUGCAUCUAAAUAAUAUAUUAUGAAUUACUUAAUUUUUUAUCAAGACUAAUUCAAAAUAAGUGCAGGGAAAAGCAUACAUUUAUUUUUAAAUAGCACCUUUUUUUGUGCCAGGUCAAAAGAUGUUCCAGAUAUCAAAAAUAAAAAAGAGUGAGAGAACGACGUUUCCUUCAUUAGUUGUAAGGAGUCUGUUUUGGGUUAAUAAUAUUACAACAAUGGUGCCAUUCUUACUGUACACUUGUUAUCAAUUAUAAUAUAUUUUGGCGAAUAUACAGAAUUUCUAUUAGAAUGAGGACAAGAAGGGAAGAGUUAAUAUGGGUGAAAGGUGAGUGUAUGUAACAGUAAGAGAAGAACAGCAGUUUUAAAUUACACUGAGGAACAGAGAGGAGAUGGCAAGAUUUCAGUGGCUACAGAUUUAACAGGAGUGUCAGAGAUACAUCAGUAAUUGCAAAAUUAAAACAAUGGGUUAUGCGUGUUUUCAAGUCAGUAUUCAGUGCUAAAUGUGGAAAGCCUCAAUAAGCAGCCUGCUGGUUAUUAGAAGCACUAGGCUGUCCAUUUAGCUAUAUCUGCAAAAGAACUUUAUUUUCAGUCUCAUGCAAAUUUUGAUUCCAGACUGGGUUCUAAUAACCCUGUAGAAAUCAUCACAGGCAUAGUCAGAUCUCAGGGUAUACACAAUAGCUUUUAUUAUCCCUUUUCAGAAAAGACCUUUAUCUGGCCGCUGAUGAAAUACAGGAAAUUGAUCGCAGAAAACCUGCAGAGGCAUACUUACUGUACCAGAUAUAGUAAGCUCCACUUGGUGCAUUGGCAUUUAGCCAUUUUAUGUAAAUUUAGUGAGAAAAUGACUCCUAUACAUGAUUUAAUAUGCAUCAGUAAUAACUCAUAAUGUCCUCAUGUGAGGAAAGAAAUUAAAAAUUCAUUAGAAAACUAGACUAGUGACACUACAUGGUUAAAACAUUGCUAAAGCAUAUUUCAGUGUUUUGCUUACACUAGUGUUCUUAUCAUGGUGCCUCCAUUUCAUGGCAAAGAAGACAGAGGAGAAAACAUUCAACUUAAAAUGUCUGCUGGCACACAUCACUGGAUUUUUAUGUCACUAAACAAUGAAGGAGCAUAGCCUUGAAUACCAACUAUUUAAUUAGCACUUUUGCCAGCCAUGCAUAGAAAACAGCUCAUUUACAUGUGUCAUGCUUACUGAUUAUUCCCAUAAAAAUCUACUGGUUUUUUCAAGUGUAUGUCACAUUCUAGUGUGACAACAAAAGAAAAUCAAAACAUCUAUUAUUUUUAAAAACCUUGAAAUUCAGAAAUCUGAUUAAAAUUUAUAAAGUCUUUCUUUCUCUUGUAGGUAUAUUUUAGUUAUUUAAUUUAUCCUUAAGUGUGGCAUAAAAGACUGGACACAACUAAUCAUUAAGAACUUCAAAGGGUAACAGAAAACCUUUAACAGUCUGCAGUUUAAUUAAAGGCUAUUAUUACAAGACUCUUGAACAUACAGCUACAUGUAAUGACAAGUGGUCACUUCUAAAUGCUGCAUUUGAAUGGUACCACUCCUGCUCUAAAUGCUGCUGAUAGACAAUGCUGAAACAUGUAAAUUCUCCCAGGGAAAGACUCCAUUUUGAGCAUAAAUGCGGUACAUUUUUGAAAUAUUUCUCUGAAAGUAUACCAUUUUGAAGCAUUUUGCUUAGAAAUAUUCACUUGUUUUGCUCUUGUCUCUCAACAUCUGCAAAAUGGAUAGAGUAUCAUUGAAGAGAUAUACUAGUUCAUAGAAAUGAAAGUCAGCCAUUUCAUCACAUUUUUCCUAGAAACAUAUAAUAUACAGAAACAUUCCCUGGCUAUACACACAAGAAACAUAAGAUAAUAUAUAUAACAUAAAGGUUUAAUUUCUCAGUGAAAUUGAAAAUGUCAAUCCACUUGCAAUUAUCAAAAAAUAAGCUUGUAUAUAUUUUUAUAAGUGUUUAAUGAGCAAUGUAUAUUCAAGUAUCUGUAAGAAUGUAGUCUAUCAAAUGAAGGCCUAUCAAAUAAAAAAUAUGCUGUACUGACUCCCAGCCAUUGAGCCCAAUCCUGUAAGGUCCCUGCUUUUCAGGCAAUCUUUAUUGUCUUAUGGUGUCUUUUAAAUUCAGCAUCUCCUAUAAUUCGGAGCUGCUAAAACAGAGUCUUAGGUUCAUGCUAGCAUACAUGAAAUUGGUAUUUCUCAUGAAUGGAUACAAUCUUCUGUAUUUUCAGUUUUAAACUGUUCGGUUUUUAAUGUUUUAUCCCUGUAGCUUAGCUCCCUCAGAUGAAUCCCAGUUCUGUGUCUAACUUGCCACCAGUUACAUAGUGUCAAAGACCACAGAACAUUUGAAUUCUCAAUUACAAAAUGAUGAGUCAACCCAAAAACAAGCUAAAGAACAUGCAAUUUUAAUGUUCUAAUAAUUAAAAAUAAUAAUAUUCCCCCUCUCAAAAAAAACCCAAAUAAUUACAGACACUUUAGUAAUUUUAAGAAAGUUUGUUAUUUAGGUCUAUGAAUACUGAAUUUAAAUCUCAACAUUUUUAUUAAUUAAUAAUUUGCAGAGGGCAAAGGAAACAACUCAGGUUACUGUAUUUUGAGAUGCUAUGAAAACUUGUAGGAAAAGUAAAAGAAUUAUCAUAAUCAAGACAGGUUAUCAGUAUUUUCUGGAAACCUAGAUGUAAGAUUUAACAAGUAAAAAAAAGGCAAUUAAUAUGUGAGUGGGGAAAAAAAAUCUGAAACACAAAUAAAUAUUCACCAGAUACAGACACUGAGUAAUUGAAAGAGACCAAAGGAUGGAAAGAACAAGUUACAAGGAUAAAAUGUGAUUUAAAAAAAUACAAACACAAAAGAAGAAAUAGCAGCAAUCCCUCAUAUGCAGUGUAUUUUAAAACAUCCUGUUGGGACCCCAUAAUUUUGGCAUAAGAAUAUUAGACUACCUAGAAUACAACUUGCCAUUAAAAAAAGAUGUAUAAUAAGUCAAACGGAGAAGAUGCAGAGAAAAAAAUGGAAAAAGCUAUAAAAAUAACAGAAUGGAGGCAUUGCUUCAAAAGAAAAGAUUAUGAGAAGUGACUAAGCUAACUGAUGAUCAAGGGAAAUAUGUGUGGGUGUUCGGAUAAGGAAUAAUUUCAGCAGCCAAAAGCUUGCAUUGUGUUGGUCAUUUUUUGUAUACACCCAGAGUUUUCUUUAAGGUUAACCAAAAGUUGGCCAAUAAAACACAAAACACCAUGUAACAUUAGGGCCAUGCUGAUGUGAUCAACUGUGUACCUAGGAAAGGUAAUUAAGAAUGUAAGCACAGGAGAUCAUUGUCUGAGUAUCUAAAAAACUCCUAGUGAGGAGGUGGAUGGUGGGUUAGAUUGAAAGAAAAUAAUGUUGACUCCAUAGACUGAUCCAUUUAAAUCCAGAGUAAAGAAUACUCCAGAGAACUUAUUGCAGGUUACAGUCCUGAGUUCUUGAGAGGAUUGACUAGAUCAGCUCUUAGAUCUUAUUUUCAUCUCUAAAUUUUUAUAUUAGAUAGUUUUGAUUUAGAUUUGAUUCCAGGUGAUGUUUUCACCUGAGGCUGAACAUUUCAAAUUGAAAUCGAAAACAUUUCAAAUAAAAUGUUUUCUAAAGAUAAAUGUGGAUAGCUUGUCUGCAUGCUCAUUUUGAGAAACGCAUAUAAUAGACACCUACUGUGAUAGUGUUUGCUGGCCAGACACCAUCACUGGAGUAAUAGGAAUACAAAUAUUAUCUUGAAAUAUAAAUUUUAAAAAUCAGAAAUUAAAAGGUGUUGAAGAUCCCAAAGGUCUAAUUAUAUUGGAUAUUGUCACAUUAUUCCCAUUUAUUCGACACUCCAUAGAUAUCUACUGCCUUUGUCUUUUUUUUCACAGUUUCUGGUAACACAGUGUAUGAAUUAGUCCUUUCUGUGAGUGCAUGAAAUACAAAUACAGCAUAUCGUGUAUUAUUAUAUUGUGGUCUAUAGUAACAUGUUUACAAAUACAAUGGUCAAAAAAGGUAUCUUUAAAUUUUUGUGGUCUGGCAGUUUGCACUGUCUUUUAAAGAUGCUUGCAUCUUUCUACUGAAGUCAAUGAAUGAUGUUGGUAGUAUUGCAAAAUCAAGGCCUCUUUAUGAAUGUCUGUAGAACGUUAAAAUUACUGAGUGUCAAAUAUUUAUAGUAUUUGAGUAGACACUGACAGAAUACCAGGCCAGGUUACUUUCAGAGAGAUCUGUCCUGGUUUCAUCCUUAACUUUCAGUUUUAGCACAGCAGGAAUGUUCAUCUGCCUUGUUCAAUAAGAAGAAUAUAAUCCAGCCCACCAAAUUCAAGCACUUUGACAGUAUGCUGUGAGAGCUGAUUUGGUGUCUCUGAGUUGUUCUCUAUGUCUUACUGGCACCAUCACUGCUGUGCAUCAUUUACAGUUAUACAUAUAUACAUAUAUCUAUCUGUCUAUAUUUAUAUACACAUGUACAUAGACUUUAUGCAAUAUAGAUUAUAUUUUAUGUACAAUAUAGAAUCAACUACCUAGAGAGAAUUUAUUCCAGUGUAGAACUUUUUUGGUCAUUGUUUGCCAAAUUAGAGAGAAAAAAAAAAGACCUUUCAAAAAUUGUAGAAGGCAUAGGGCCUGCAAGGCCUCCCUGGCAGUCAGCACCCUAAGAUAGGAAAUGCCUAGUCAUGAUGACUGAACCUUAGAAGCUCUUUUUUUCUUUGGAAAGGGCUUAUCCCUCUGUAAGCCUAUAGGUCACUUUCCUUUCGACCCCUACUAUUGGACAAUUUCUAAAACUCCUAUAUCCUAUAAAAACCCCUACUUUUGCCCAGUUGGGCAGAAAAGCUGUCCCUGAGAACCUCUGGGCAGAAGAUUCAAUAAAGACACCCCUGUGGAACCUCACACAGCACUUCUCCUCUCUCUCCCUGCAUCUGCCUAAGGCACUUAGCGAGCUAAAGAGCUGAAAUCACAAAAUGAGCUGAUAGUCAUGAAAGAGCUGGUAUCACCUAAGCUUGCUAAGGUAGCCUGUGCCUGGGAGCUGCUUGGGAACUUGGACAGGCUAUGCUGAACAGGACUGCGCUAUGAGGGACCCUGUGGUAGCCCACUGAGGAUACCCUGAAACCCGGCUGAGGCCACAUUAAAAAUAACAGAAAUUAUAUGUUUUUUAAAAAGGAAAUAGGAGUGGGAAAAAAGAGCUAUCAAUGCUUAAUCACAGUAUCACAGUAUCAGAGAAUAUUCUGAAUUGUAAGGGAAUCCAUUUUAACUUUUUUUUUCCCUUAUAAUUUCCAACAGUACCUAGGCAUGACAAAGUCAGUGGGUUGUCUUACACUUUUUCUCAUACAGUCUUUUUUGCUCAAAUAUUGCCUUGACAUUUCAUGAUGCCAACUAUAUCUUGGUGUGUAUUAUAUGUCACAAAGGGUUGGUGAAAGUGUGGGCACAGCCUUCACACGAUCUGUCUCUUGCAGUUUCUCCACAUUCCAUUUCUUGUUUUCCCCCUCAGAUAUUCUGUGCUUGCUAUCUUUUCCUCCAUACCAGUGCAGAAGAUGAUUUUUCUGUCAGAAUUAAACACAGAGAGCAUAGCUGCUGGUCUUGGGAUGAGAUCUUUGCUGUCCUUUAGGUUCCUCAAGGGCUGCUUGCAAGAUUGCUGAUAUAUUUGGCCUAGUGCCAAAGACAGAGCAUGGCUAUUGACCCAUCUUUCUGAGGAGAAUGGCUGAGAUGUCUUUGAAAUUAUUCCUGGAAUUAGACCAGCAUGAGAUCUCCUCUACCAAACUGAGGUAAUACUGUUGAAAGGCAAGAAAUCUGAAGUGAUGUAUGUCCAACUGUCUGUGCAUUGACAAUGUCAACUGAUGAAAAGGUUCCCCAAUGCCUGGGCCCAAAGGAAACACUUAGAAUGAGUAAACCUGAGGACAUCAGCUGAAUGAGUAAACCUGAGGACAUCAGCCUCUUCUGAGGAGUAUUUGGUUGGUGAAGCCAAAAGCUUUUCUAAGUAAUUUCUAGGUCCAGGUUUUAUUAACAAUGAUAGCCCAGACUUCUGCCAUAAUGAAGUACCUUCUUGGAGGUUAACUAACUAGUAUUUACCUAACAAUAUUCAGCAUAAUGGCAAACACAGGAGUGUUGUUGCUUUUGGUUAGUUUGUAGAGCCUUUAAAACCUCAGAAAUUUCACUAUGAGAAAAUCAGAGAAUUUAAAAAGAUAGUGUGGGCAGUAAAAUUAUGUAGCGUAUUACUACUAAGCCUUUUGCAAGAAAAUUCACAAAUUCUGCUUUCUUUACCUCUUCACCAGAACAGGUUUUGAUUACAGUUCUUUUCCGUCAGGGUGGACCUGACAUAAAAUGAUGUCAAAAAUCAGCCAAAUUAGGAUUACACAAAUAAAUAAGAUAAGUACGAUUUGCCAAGUGAUAUGCAUGAAAAUGAAUUUUCUUGCUAUGGAAUGAUUUUUUUGAAAUGUUUUCUUUAAAUGGUAUUAGCUAGAAAGCAGCAGAAAAUAUGCCCUGGUCUAUACCUGGAGGUAUAUCUGUCUCAUUCUGUUUCAUCAAGGUUACAUAAGUUAUGUAUGGCAUUUUCAUUAUGGAUAGUAGUCUGACCUUAGAAAGAUAUCAAUUAUGAAAUGUCUUUCAUUAAUUGUUUCUCUCUUGUGAGGAUUUAAAAAAUUGUUUGUGCUGAAAAGAGUAAAUGAUAAACACUGUUUGUUAAGAUCUCUGUAGUGUAAAAUAAAAUACUGCCUCUCCUAAUAAUUUCAGCAAGACAAAAUUGGUGCCAUUUAUAUGAUGUUUAAUUAUUAUUUAAUAAUGCUUAAUUAUUUAAUUAUGCUAUAUCUACAUUGUGCUUCUGCCACCUUUGCUGGGAGGAGGAAUAACUUGCCAACAUUACUGGCAUUAUGCAACCUGAAAAACCUACACUGCCCCAAAAUAUCAGGGUGUUCAAGUUACUAUCAGAAAACAAGUUAAAAUGCUAAACCCAUUGCAAACAAUAUGCUUCAUGUUCAGAAAUUCCAUUUACUCCAAAGGUGUGACCUGAUUUCAGUGGGAAGUCUGUAAACAGGCGGUUGAAAAUCUAGGUUCUUAAUAUCAAAAUCCUCACUCCAAAAAUAUGUAGGACAAAGGACAAUACUGAUAUGAAGAAAAAGUGUGAACAAAACUGUUUUUCACAAGUCUGUCAAUGUCAGUAAUUUCUCUCAGUUGUCAAAACUCAUGGUUACAGAAGUUAAUUCAAAGAUAAUAAAUGUCUUAUGUUGUGGUGUGUUUGAUGGUUCGUUCUUAUUUCCCUUUCAUAUUCUGUUAAUGGUCCUGCCCAAGUUUUUCCUUCCCGCGUUUUUCAGUGUCCAGUUCUUGUCUAUCAUUCGGUUGCUAUAGUAAUUAAUUGGUUCUCCCUGCACU
Long non-coding RNA from Camarhynchus parvulus, 15755 nucleotides. RefSeq lists it as uncharacterized. Lineage: Eukaryota; Metazoa; Chordata; Aves; Passeriformes; Thraupidae. The record is from RefSeq and is a predicted model, not a curated record. The transcript has 3 exons.